Molecule: ribosomal RNA, 518 nt
Filed under: Escherichia coli
Lineage: Bacteria; Pseudomonadati; Pseudomonadota; Gammaproteobacteria; Enterobacterales; Enterobacteriaceae
Description: partial 23S ribosomal RNA
Rfam family: Bacterial large subunit ribosomal RNA
Source: RNAcentral
AUGCGUUGUUGGGUAGGGGAGCGUUCUGUAAGCCUGUGAAGGUGUGCUGUGAGGCAUGCUGGAGGUAUCAGAAGUGCGAAUGCUGACAUAAGUAACGAUAAAGCGGGUGAAAAGCCCGCUCGCCGGAAGACCAAGGGUUCCUGUCCAACGUUAAUCGGGGCAGGGUGAGUCGACCCCUAAGGCGAGGCCGAAAGGCGUAGUCGAUGGGAAACAGGUUAAUAUUCCUGUACUUGGUGUUACUGCGAAGGGGGGACGGAGAAGGCUAUGUUGGCCGGGCGACGGUUGUCCCGGUUUAAGCGUGUAGGCUGGUUUUCCAGGCAAAUCCGGAAAAUCAAGGCUGAGGCGUGAUGACGAGGCACUACGGUGCUGAAGCAACAAAUGCCCUGCUUCCAGGAAAAGCCUCUAAGCAUCAGGUAACAUCAAAUCGUACCCCAAACCGACACAGGUGGUCAGGUAGAGAAUACCAAGGCGCUUGAGAGAACUCGGGUGAAGGAACUAGGCAAAAUGGUGCCGUAACU